Molecule: ribosomal RNA, 659 nt
Filed under: uncultured Gammaproteobacteria bacterium
Lineage: Bacteria; Pseudomonadati; Pseudomonadota; Gammaproteobacteria
Description: bacterial SSU rRNA
Rfam family: Bacterial small subunit ribosomal RNA
Source: RNAcentral
CUGGCUCAGAUUGAACGCUGGCGGCAUGCUUUACACAUGCAAGUCGAACGGCAGCGGGUCCUUCGGGAUGCCGGCGAGUGGCGAACGGGUGAGUAAUGCAUCGGAACGUACCUGGUCGUGGGGAUAACACAGCGAAAGUUGUGCUAAUACCGCAUGAGACCUGAGGGUGAAAGCGGGGGCUCGCAAGACCUCGCGCGACUGGAGCGGCCGAUGUCAGAUUAGCUAGUUGGUAAGGUAAAGGCCUACCAAGGCGACGAUCUGUAGCGGGUCUGAGAGGAUGAUCCGCCACACUGGGACUGAGACACGGCCCAGACUCCUACGGGAGGCAGCAGUGGGGAAUUUUGGACAAUGGGCGCAAGCCUGAUCCAGCCAUGCCGCGUGAGUGAAGAAGGCCUUCGGGUUGUAAAGCUCUUUCAGCCGGGAAGAAAUCGCACGGGCCAAUACCCUGUGCGGAUGACGGUACCGGAACAAGAAGCACCGGCUAACUACGUGCCAGCAGCCGCGGUAAUACGUAGGGUGCGAGCGUUAAUCGGAAUUACUGGGCGUAAAGCGUGCGCAGGCGGAUGCUUAAGUCAGAUGUGAAAUCCCCGAGCUUAACUUGGGAAUUGCAUUUGAAACUGGGUAUCUAGAGUGCGUCAAAGGGGGGUGGAAUUCCACGU